This 433-nucleotide ribosomal RNA is filed under the name uncultured bacterium. Its description in RNAcentral is "partial 16S ribosomal RNA". It matches the Rfam family "Bacterial small subunit ribosomal RNA", at positions 28 to 507 of the family's 1533-position model. The record is from RNAcentral.
GGCGAACGCUGGCGGCAGGCCUAACACAUGCAAGUCGAACGAACUCUUCGGAGUUAGUGGCGGACGGGUGAGUAACACGUGGGGACGUGCCUUUAGGUUCGGAAUAACUCAGGGAAACUUGUGCUAAUACCGAAUGUGCCCUUCGGGGGAAAGAUUUAUCGCCUUUAGAGCGGCCCGCGUCUGAUUAGCUAGUUGGUGAGGUAAAGGCUCACCAAGGCGACGAUCAGUAGCUGGUCUGAGAGGAUGAUCAGCCACAUUGGGACUGAGACACGGCCCAAACUCCUACGGGAGGCAGCAGUGGGGAAUCUUGCGCAAUGGGCGAAAGCCUGACGCAGCCAUGCCGCGUGAAUGAUGAAGGUCUUAGGAUUGUAAAAUUCUUUCACCGGGGACGAUAAUGACGGUACCCGGAGAAGAAGCCCCGGCUAACUUCGUG